Molecule: ribosomal RNA, 433 nt
Filed under: uncultured bacterium
Lineage: Bacteria
Description: partial 16S ribosomal RNA
Rfam family: Bacterial small subunit ribosomal RNA
Source: RNAcentral
AACGAACGCUGGCGGCAUGCCUAACACAUGCAAGUCGAACGAGACCUUCGGGUCUAGUGGCGCACGGGUGCGUAACGCGUGGGAACCUGCCCUUAGGUUCGGAAUAACUCCCCGAAAGGGGUGCUAAUACCGGAUAAUGUCUUCGGACCAAAGAUUUAUCGCCUUUGGAUGGGCCCGCGUUGGAUUAGCUGGUUGGUAGGGUAAAAGCCUACCAAGGCGACGAUCCAUAGCUGGUCUGAGAGGAUGAUCAGCCACACUGGGACUGAGACACGGCCCAGACUCCUACGGGAGGCAGCAGUGGGGGAUAUUGGACAGUGGGCGACAGCAUGAUCCAGCAAUGCCGCGUGAGUGAUGAAGGCCGUAGGGUUGUACAGCUCUUUUACCCGGGAUGAUAAUGACGGUACCGGGAGAAUAAGCUCCGGCUAACUCCGUG